Molecule: ribosomal RNA, 549 nt
Filed under: uncultured bacterium
Lineage: Bacteria
Description: bacterial SSU rRNA
Rfam family: Bacterial small subunit ribosomal RNA
Source: RNAcentral
UGGGGAAUAUUGGACAAUGGGCGAAAGCCUGAUCCAGCCAUGCCGCGUGUGUGAAGAAGGCCUUUUGGUUGUAAAGCACCUUAAGUGGGGAGGAAAAGCUUGUGGUUAAUACCCAUAAGCCCUGACGUUACCCACAGAAUAAGCACCGGCUAACUCUGUGCCAGCAGCCGCGGUAAUACAGAGGGUGCAAGCGUUAAUCGGAAUUACUGGGCGUAAAGCGCGCGUAGGUGGUUAUUUAAGUCAGAUGUGAAAGCCCCGGGCUUAACCUGGGAACUGCAUCUGAUACUGGAUAACUAGAGUAGGUGAGAGGGGAGUAGAAUUCCAGGUGUAGCGGUGAAAUGCGUAGAGAUCUGGAGGAAUACCGAUGGCGAAGGCAGCUCCCUGGCAUCAUACUGACACUGAGGUGCGAAAGCGUGGGUAGCAAACAGGAUUAGAUACCCUGGUAGUCCACGCCGUAAACGAUGUCUACCAGUCGUUGGGUCUUUUAAAGACUUAGUGACGCAGUUAACGCAAUAAGUAGACCGCCUGGGGAGUACGGCCGCAAGGUUA